Triticum aestivum (bread wheat) is the source of this 70-nucleotide non-coding RNA. The record is from Rfam. Lineage: Eukaryota; Viridiplantae; Streptophyta; Magnoliopsida; Poales; Poaceae.
CUAAAGGCUUUACUUGGCACAAAUACUAAUUAAAACACAAAAGCCACAAUCAUAACAAUAGCAUAAUUGU